Long non-coding RNA from Neofelis nebulosa (Clouded leopard), 1352 nucleotides. RefSeq lists it as uncharacterized. The transcript has 2 exons. NCBI's taxonomy places the organism in Eukaryota, Metazoa, Chordata, Mammalia, Carnivora, Felidae. The record is from RefSeq and is a predicted model, not a curated record.
AGCCUGUCCUCUCGGGGACCCCGCCCCGUCUCGCAGCCCAGUGCCCACCGCAGGCGGGAGCGCCCAGCGCGGUGCAGUCACGCCGGGCGCAGCCUGGCAACGCGGCCACAAAGGGAGCCCGGGAGGCGGAAUCUUUCCACAUGCCUGAUCAAUGGGGGCGCGGAGACGGCGGUGCAAACAGGCCUGAGACAGCCGCACAAAGAGGAGGCCCCUCGGCCGCUCCCGCCUUCCAUUGAUCCGGGCCCUUUGUGGCUCGGACAACGGGGGCGCGGGAGGCGCCUCGCAGGGACUUGGCCGUUCUCGUUAGGGGGAGAAAGCCCAGGAGGACCCAUGCCCCACCAGCCCACCCCACCGGUUCACCCUCCUGCGGGCUCCAGGUCUGAGGUCCGGGGGUGUCCACAUCCCCUCUGGAGCACAGGGCAGGGCGCAGGGUGGUGUGGGGCCAGGCCAAGGAGGGUCCUGUAUUCCAGAAAAGUCUGCAGCCUGCCAGUGGGGCCAGCCAUCCAGCUCUGGCUUCCUGAGGACCCCCCAGUCUGCCCUGGCAGGCUUUUCUAUCCCCCUGGUUACAGGCAAGACUUGCACAGUCUUUAUUUUAUUUUUUGUUUAUUGAGCAAAUAUUUAUUGAGCAUUUGCUCCAAGAGGUUCCCACUCUCUCCUGCUCCUAUGGCCACUUAGAGUGGCCAAUUCCUUCUCAAGCAUCACCUCUCUGGGAAAGCAUCCCUGACCCCUCUCCCACCCCCAGAUUGGGUAGGGAGUCUUCCCCCCCACCCCCCAUCUCUCUCUGUGCCUUCCAGUUCCCUACUCUUCAGGAUAGGAACAGCUAUCAAUUCUUGGACAUUUGCUGCGCACAGUGUCAGGCCUCCCCUGGCCCUUUCGCAGACCAUCGCUCCCUACCUCCCACUCCGCCAAGCCGUUUGCCCUCUUUCCACGUCCAAACGCUUUGGCGUCAAAGAAACGCACUUGGGGCCCUGCUCCCCGGAGGCACCUGCGCCUCUGCGGUGGCCCGGGUUCAGCGGAAAUCAAGGCCGAGCCCACGAAGCGCCCGCCCCGGCCGCGGCCCGACCCGGGCCCGGACGAGCCGCAGCUCCCCAGCCCGCGGAGCUAGGGGCCCAGGCCCGGCAGGCGCGGGGCUCCCGGCGAGGCCUCCCUCCGACGUGGGUGGAGUCUGCGCCGGGCCUCGCUCCCGCCCGCUUUCUCCAGGAGUAAUUAAGAGUGAAAUCCUCCUCCUGGUGACCCCGGUGCUCCUGGCCCGGGCUGAUUUACACAUGAAAGGUCUACGGAGGGCCUGGGCUUUCUCCUUUUCACAUUCACAAUGAGGCGCGGCCUAUAAAUAAAACCUCUCUGAGAAACAA